AUUGAACGCUGGCGGCAGGCCUAACACAUGCAAGUCGAACGAGUGGCGGACGGGUGAGUAAUGUCUGGGAAACUGCCUGAUGGAGGGGGAUAACUACUGGAAACGGUAGCUAAUACCGCAUACAAUCAGAUGUGCCCAGAUGGGAUUAGCUAGUUGGUGGGGUAAAGGCUCACCAAGGCGCCGAUCCCUAGCUGGUCUUAGCGGAUGACCAGCCACACUGGAACUGAGACACGGUCCAGACUCCUACGGGAGGCAGUAGUUGGGAACAUUGCACAAUGGGCGCAAGCCUGAUGCAGCCAUGCCGCGUAUAUGAAGAAGGCCUUCGGGUUGUAAAGUACUUUCAGCGGGGAUGCGUUACCCGCAGAAGAAGCACCGGCUAACUCCGGGCCAGCAGCCGCGGUAAUUC
RNAcentral lists this ribosomal RNA (406 nucleotides) under uncultured bacterium. RNAcentral describes it as "partial 16S ribosomal RNA". It matches the Rfam family "Bacterial small subunit ribosomal RNA", at positions 30 to 526 of the family's 1533-position model. The record is from RNAcentral.